UUAAGCGACUAAGCGUACACGGUGGAUGCCCUGGCAGUCAGAGGCGAUGAAGGACGUGCUAAUCUGCGAUAAGCGUCGGUAAGGUGAUAUGAACCGUUAUAACCGGCGAUUUCCGAAUGGGGAAACCCAGUGUGUUUCGACACACUAUCAUUAACUGAAUCCAUAGGUUAAUGAGGCGAACCGGGGGAACUGAAACAUCUAAGUACCCCGAGGAAAAGAAAUCAACCGAGAUUCCCCCAGUAGCGGCGAGCGAACGGGGAGCAGCCCAGAGCCUGAAUCAGUGUGUGUGUUAGUGGAAGCGUCUGGAAAGGCGCGCGAUACAGGGUGACAGCCCCGUACACAAAAAUGCACAUACUGUGAGCUCGAUGAGUAGGGCGGGACACGUGGUAUCCUGUCUGAAUAUGGGGGGACCAUCCUCCAAGGCUAAAUACUCCUGACUGACCGAUAGUGAACCAGUACCGUGAGGGAAAGGCGAAAAGAACCCCGGCGAGGGGAGUGAAAAAGAACCUGAAACCGUGUACGUACAAGCAGUGGGAGCCUCUUUAUGGGGUGACUGCGUACCUUUUGUAUAAUGGGUCAGCGACUUAUAUUCUGUAGCAAGGUUAACCGAAUAGGGGAGCCGAAGGGAAACCGAGUCUUAACUGGGCGUUAAGUUGCAGGGUAUAGACCCGAAACCCGGUGAUCUAGCCAUGGGCAGGUUGAAGGUUGGGUAACACUAACUGGAGGACCGAACCGACUAAUGUUGAAAAAUUAGCGGAUGACUUGUGGCUGGGGGUGAAAGGCCAAUCAAACCGGGAGAUAGCUGGUUCUCCCCGAAAGCUAUUUAGGUAGCGCCUCGUGAAUUCAUCUCCGGGGGUAGAGCACUGUUUCGGCAAGGGGGUCAUCCCGACUUACCAACCCGAUGCAAACUGCGAAUACCGGAGAAUGUUAUCACGGGAGACACACGGCGGGUGCUAACGUCCGUCGUGAAGAGGGAAACAACCCAGACCGCCAGCUAAGGUCCCAAAGUCAUGGUUAAGUGGGAAACGAUGUGGGAAGGCCCAGACAGCCAGGAUGUUGGCUUAGAAGCAGCCAUCAUUUAAAGAAAGCGUAAUAGCUCACUGGUCGAGUCGGCCUGCGCGGAAGAUGUAACGGGGCUAAACCAUGCACCGAAGCUGCGGCAGCGACGCUUAUGCGUUGUUGGGUAGGGGAGCGUUCUGUAAGCCUGCGAAGGUGGCCUGUGAGGGUUGCUGGAGGUAUCAGAAGUGCGAAUGCUGACAUAAGUAACGAUAAAGCGGGUGAAAAGCCCGCUCGCCGGAAGACCAAGGGUUCCUGUCCAACGUUAAUCGGGGCAGGGUGAGUCGACCCCUAAGGCGAGGCCGAAAGGCGUAGUCGAUGGGAAACAGGUUAAUAUUCCUGUACUUGGUGUUACUGCGAAGGGGGGACGGAGAAGGCUAUGUUGGCCGGGCGACGGUUGUCCCGGUUUAAGCGUGUAGGCUGAUUUUCCAGGCAAAUCCGGAAAAUCAAGGCUGAGGCGUGAUGACGAGGCACUACGGUGCUGAAGCAACAAAUGCCCUGCUUCCAGGAAAAGCCUCUAAGCAUCAGGUAACAUCAAAUCGUACCCCAAACCGACACAGGUGGUCAGGUAGAGAAUACCAAGGCGCUUGAGAGAACUCGGGUGAAGGAACUAGGCAAAAUGGUGCCGUAACUUCGGGAGAAGGCACGCUGAUAUGUAGGUGAAGUCCCUUGCGGAUGGAGCUGAAAUCAGUCGAAGAUACCAGCUGGCUGCAACUGUUUAUUAAAAACACAGCACUGUGCAAACACGAAAGUGGACGUAUACGGUGUGACGCCUGCCCGGUGCCGGAAGGUUAAUUGAUGGGGUUAGCGGUAACGCGAAGCUCUUGAUCGAAGCCCCGGUAAACGGCGGCCGUAACUAUAACGGUCCUAAGGUAGCGAAAUUCCUUGUCGGGUAAGUUCCGACCUGCACGAAUGGCGUAAUGAUGGCCAGGCUGUCUCCACCCGAGACUCAGUGAAAUUGAACUCGCUGUGAAGAUGCAGUGUACCCGCGGCAAGACGGAAAGACCCCGUGAACCUUUACUAUAGCUUGACACUGAACAUUGAGCCUUGAUGUGUAGGAUAGGUGGGAGGCUUUGAAGUGUGGACGCCAGUCUGCAUGGAGCCGACCUUGAAAUACCACCCUUUAAUGUUUGAUGUUCUAACGUUGGCCCCUGAUCGGGGUUGCGGACAGUGUCUGGUGGGUAGUUUGACUGGGGCGGUCUCCUCCUAAAGAGUAACGGAGGAGCACGAAGGUUGGCUAAUCCUGGUCGGACAUCAGGAGGUUAGUGCAAUGGCAUAAGCCAGCUUGACUGCGAGCGUGACGGCGCGAGCAGGUGCGAAAGCAGGUCAUAGUGAUCCGGUGGUUCUGAAUGGAAGGGCCAUCGCUCAACGGAUAAAAGGUACUCCGGGGAUAACAGGCUGAUACCGCCCAAGAGUUCAUAUCGACGGCGGUGUUUGGCACCUCGAUGUCGGCUCAUCACAUCCUGGGGCUGAAGUAGGUCCCAAGGGUAUGGCUGUUCGCCAUUUAAAGUGGUACGCGAGCUGGGUUUAGAACGUCGUGAGACAGUUCGGUCCCUAUCUGCCGUGGGCGCUGGAGAACUGAGGGGGGCUGCUCCUAGUACGAGAGGACCGGAGUGGACGCAUCACUGGUGUUCGGGUUGUCAUGCCAAUGGCACUGCCCGGUAGCUAAAUGCGGAAGAGAUAAGUGCUGAAAGCAUCUAAGCACGAAACUUGCCCCGAGAUGAGUUCUCCCUGACUCCUUGAGAGUCCUGAAGGAACGUUGAAGACGACGACGUUGAUAGGCCGGGUGUGUAAGCGCAGCGAUGCGUUGAGCUAACCGGUACUAAUGAACCGUGAGGCUUAACCUU
Molecule: ribosomal RNA, 2903 nt
Filed under: human gut metagenome
Description: bacterial LSU rRNA
Rfam family: Bacterial large subunit ribosomal RNA
Source: RNAcentral